Molecule: non-coding RNA, 947 nt
Organism: Peromyscus maniculatus bairdii (prairie deer mouse)
Lineage: Eukaryota; Metazoa; Chordata; Mammalia; Rodentia; Cricetidae
Source: RefSeq, a predicted model, not a curated record
UAAAUCACAGAGCUGGCACUCGGCCAGGUCUUCCUCCUCAGAGUGUGACGUGAUUUUCUCCAUGCCUCCCCACCUCUCCAAACGACAACCCUGCGGGACCCACGCGAUCCCCUGGAGAGGGGUCAGAAGUGGGGAGGGACAGGCACUCGGCGGGGAGGCCUGGGCUGGAGCAGCCUUCCGCCAAGAAUGAGUUUUCUGCAAGAGCAGAGAAGUUCCAGCCCCCGGGGACCUAUUUUCGGACUUGUCUGAUUGCCCAGAAAGGGGCAGGCCCGACUUUCACAGAAAUUAGAAGCACAUACUCGGCCUCCAAGACAGAAAGGAUGAUGAAGAGAUGCAUGCUGAUUCAAACCAGUGCCUUCAACACUCAGGGGCAAGAAGAGCCGAGGUUUUUUUUUUUUUUUAUCCCCGCCCCCCCUCCCGCUUAAGAGCAAAGGCCCCUAAUUGGAAUCGUGGCUUCAGAGAAUGCUAGAACUGUGGUGAGUUUCAGACACGGCAAUCCAAAUGCUUCAUUUCAUGAAGGCCUGAGAGCUGGAAGAGCUUGGCUUCACUAGAUCUAGUGAGACUCAGAGCAAGGCAGGGUUACACCCCUUCUGAGUCGGGACCCACUGCUCCUGCCGCCCCUUCUGAAAGUUUUCUGAGUGGGCAACAUUGCUCUCUCCGGGGCUAAUUUCCACUCUCUGCGACCCUUACAUUCAGGCUGGCGAACACCUUUCUGAAGUGUCUGGCAGCCGGCUCCGACGGUCACCGCAGGACGAGGGUAGGAAAUCAAGGCUUGCACGUAGACAGCCGCCUCAGCCACGGUGUGUGCAUCUGAGCCAAGCGUACCUCGGGAAGGAGCUCGCUCCCUUUGCAACUAUAUCAUACCUUUUACAAAAAGUCACUUUGAGGUCACUGUUUUUUUUUUUUGUCCAGUAUUUCAAUACAUUAAAUGCAAUUACUUCAUUGUU